GGAGACCAUUCUCCUCUUGGGUGACAAACCUAGAACUGUUUUAGAUUUUUGAGUGAGAAAAAAAUCAAAGAAAAGAGAGACUUCAUCUAAUUUUUCUUCACUAUCCAGCAUCCUUCUCUGAUCCAUCUUUGACAUCGAAAAGGUUUGAAGUAAUCAAAGAAGGAGAUCAAGUCAGAUCUAUCAUUAGAAUCCGACUGCGC
This 200-nucleotide long non-coding RNA is filed under the name Elaeis guineensis (African oil palm). Its description in RNAcentral is "long non-coding RNA (EGUI_LNC076338)". Lineage: Eukaryota; Viridiplantae; Streptophyta; Magnoliopsida; Arecales; Arecaceae. The record is from RNAcentral.